Molecule: long non-coding RNA, 1811 nt
Organism: Dromiciops gliroides (monito del monte)
Lineage: Eukaryota; Metazoa; Chordata; Mammalia; Microbiotheria; Microbiotheriidae
Exons: 4
Source: RefSeq, a predicted model, not a curated record
UCUGUCUGUUUAUUGGCUCAGGAGCACUGUCACUCACUGUCAGGUAGCUGUCCCCUCUCUUGCUUGUUCUUCCUUCUCGGCCCCACCCCUUUCGCUUCUUUUUCUCCCUCUCAAUCUCUAGCCUUCUCUCUUUCCAGCCUAGCGCCUCCACCUCCGGGUCCCUGGCUCAGGUGUCACUCACGCUAUAGGCCUACUUUGGAGACGGAGAAUGGCCAGGUUGGAGUGGAUCGGAGCGGAAAGGCAGAGGAAAGAGGAGAAGGCCUCCCCACCCCGCUGCUAACAUAGCCCCUCUUCUCUACUUUGGCAACUGUGUUUCCCCGGUUUGGUUGAGCCGCAGUGUGAGCAGCUAAGUGCAGUAAGUGUGUGCGUGUGUGUAUGUGUUCGUUUGCUGGGGGAGGGGGUGUGUGGAAGAGAGAGAGAGAGAGAGAGAGAGAGAGAGAGAGAGAGAGAGAGAGAGAGAGAGAGAGAGAGAGAGAGAGAGAGAGAGAGAGAGAGAGAGAGAUGCAAAAAUGAGGAAGGAAAGGAAGGAGGAAGGAAAUCCAGCUACCUCUCUCUGGUUACACACGCUGUCUCUGCAGAUCCGUGGAUUGAAGGUUUAGGAAAGGAAAUGCAGGAGGUCAAGUAUGGAGGAUCUACAGUGAUAUAGGAUUUGAUGAAACCUGAAAAAUGUUAUGACCCUAUGAUGGAGGACUUUACCAUAUUAACAAGGAAAUUCUUCAACCUGGACUCAAUAUUGUAUUUCAUUCAUGAUAAGGAAACAAAUAUGAUGACCACAGAGAAACAUGGAAAGAUCUUCAUCAAUUGAUGCAGAGUGAAGAAGACAGUGUACACAAUGACUUCAAACAAUGUAAAUGGAAAGAACAAUCAUAUACAAUAAAAGUAACAAAAUUAACAAGAUGAAACAUGACUCAAAAUAAGAGAUAUGAGAGGCUACCCACAGCCCUUCUUUUCAUGCAGAUGGGAGGUCCACAAGUAUUUUACAUUACACUUUUUCAACAUAAUGAUUGGUUGUGCUGACUUUAUCUUCUUAUCGUUAUUUGGAGGGGGUGGUUCUUUAAAAAUAUUAAUUGUUAUAUGGGAUAACCUUCUCAGAAAUAGAGGGGAGAUGCUAGGGGAAAUAAUGAGAAUGUAAAUGAAAGAUAUUAAACAUUUUUUUCAAAGGAAACUUACUUGAGAAUGCCAUAGCUAAAAUUCAGAGCUUUUAAGUUAAAGAAAAAUGCCACAAGUAGGCAUUAUGAAAGAGCUAGUACACCAUCAAAAUAAGCAAUAUUCUGCCUAAACUUCUAUAAAAGGGAGAAAAUUCUGGAAUAUUUUGUGUGUGUGUGUGUGUGUGUGUAUGUGUGUGUGUAGGUUUGCAACUAAGUAUCUUGUAACUUAUCUUACAAAGGUCCAUAUAUAUCUAUGGAGAAAAAUAGAACUUUAAUAAAGAAUUAUCAAGGAUUUCUGAUAAAAAAAAAAAACAAAGCCAGGUAGCCCCCUUGAAAAACAAACAAACAAACAUAGUAGACAAUAAAAGCCUAGAUAUUAAAUGUUGUUCUUGUUCAGUCCUGUUCAGUCUUGUCCUACUUGUGACUACUUUGGGGUUAUCUUGGCAAAUAUAAUAGAGUGGCUUGCCAUUUCCCUUUCCAGCUAAUUUUAUAAGAUGAGGGAACUGAGGCAAACCAUGUAACUGACUUGUACAGCUAGUCUUUGAGGCUGGAUUUGAAUUCAAAUAUUCCUGACUACAGGCUGUUCUAUCCACUGUACCACCUAGCAUCUCAGAUAUAUAAAUAUAUUUUAGCAAUUGAAAGAGUGAUCAAUGGGGCAGCUAG